UCUGUGUUUUUUUGUGAUUUUUUUUCAUAAUGAUAAUGUUCUCGAAGUCAAUGAUGAUCGACUUCAAUUUUUUAUUUAAUCUUAUCCACCAAAUACUCUCCAAUGCGUACACCGUGAUGCAAUUUAGCAUUUGAUAAUCUGUUUGGCGGACAUUAAAACUAUUUUAAUGAUAAGUAAGUGUAACCACCAUUUCAAUACCGGUCUAUUGUAGUUUUUGUCCUCAAACACGCACGUGUAAUUGCUAAGGUGGAGAACCGCGAUAUGACAUAUUAACACUUUAUACUUAAAAAAAAGAAAUGGUUAUUGUGGGACACUAUCGCAAUAUAUGAUUUGUUGUUUCCAAAAAGAUUAAUUUCCAAACUUUAAAGUUAAUUUGUAAAUGUAGGUGAGUCAUUUUCUUUGCCACCAAUAACAACAAGAAAAUGACUAGGAGGGGGUGUAAUUUUGAAAUUGAUUCAUAAAUUUUUACUAGCACCUGAUUGCGUGAUUCUGCCAUAUCCGAUAUAAAUUGUUUGUUAAAGGGACUGGUUCACGAUUUUUGAAAAAAAUACUUUUCAUAUUUGAUGUCAAACAUUAAAAAUAUAACUGCUUGAUUGAUGACAGCCAAAAUUUUGAACUUCUGAACGCAAGAAUAAAAGCAAUAUUUUAGCCUUAAAUCUGUGUUAUGUAAACGAAGACUCGAGUCUGUUCAUGUAUACAAACAAACCAGUGAAAUGUUAAUUUUGUAAUAUAAAGCAUCCUAAUUUUGCAAAGUUACAAAUUUUAACUUUUGGAUGACACAUUUUACCCCCAAAAUGCUUGAAAUGUGAAAGAUAUAAUAAACUUAAAUCGAUAUCCAUUUCUUUUGAAAAUUUCGUAAAUAUAACAUACCGCAAUCUUUGUUUACAAAACAAAGAAUAAACUCUCUAAAAUGAGCUUCUGUAAUGAUGUAUAACCUUGAUUUUUAUGUGAACUCUUUUAAACACAUUAGACAAUAGAUUUUGAUCAUUAAAAGUGAAAAACAAAAUUUUGGGGGAAAUCGUGAAUCAGUCCCAUUAAUACUAAAGAGAUGUUUUUAAAAAUAUACCAUACUAAAAGUGCUAACUUGCUAAAAUGCAUGCAAACAUAUGUUGAAAUCGCCCUUCAUAAUUAUUACUGUAAAUGUAUUUUACAUUCGAUCACUUUAUAUACACCUCCUCCGCCUUUUUGUGUGUAUGUACGAAAUAGAAUACAAUAGAUUUAUUGAAAGCAGUACGGGGGUCCUCGAGGGCAUACACAUAAAGAGCAACAUACAAAAGAAGAAAGUCAAAAUUGAUAGCUGUAACAUGUUGAUAAAAAAGAAAGAAAACGAAACUGACUACAGAUGUAUGAACCCCGCCCCUAUAUAUAUUACCUGGAAACAGACGCUGUACGUGAAUGAUUAUAUUAAACAAAUACCUAUAUACAUUUUAAACCAGUGAUUUGACGUGACGGAUAAAGUCAGCACACAUUGAAGUGUCAUCUAUUUCUUCCUCCUGAAUCUCAUCAAACAUAAUGGAUGACAGAGCAGCUUUUCAUUCAGACGUAUAUUUAGAGAGAUUUUGUGAGCUCGUCUUCAUUACUGUGAUGAAUGAGAGGUAGUUUUCGGUACAAUCAUUAACGGGAUAUUAUUUCAUUACAAGGAUAGGUACAUAAUAAACACUGAAAAUCACACUCAUACGACACACGCGUUUGAUAGAUAGGUUCUGUGGUUUUCUAGGUGUUCAUGCUGUUUUAAAAACUUAGUACCGUCUUACGAAACGGGGUUGUAAUUAAAUCAGGUGAAUGUAAGAGACAUGGAUAGAUUACACAAUUUCUAGAUCCCCAGGCAUGUUCCAUUAGAUAUUCAUCGCUCUACAUGCACCUGUUACGGAAAAAAGUCAGGAAAACAAGACCUCGGGCGGACACACGGACGGACGGACCAAUCCAGCUGAAAUGCGAAGUAAACUUGUAUUCAUGAGGAAAAGCGGGAUAAAGUGUUGAAAAGUCGUAUGUUUUGAUGCCGUUGAAUUUAACACAAUUUUGUGAUUUCAUUUACUAAAAACUUCCGUUGAAUGUUUGAGAAUCCACAUUUGAUUUACAACACAAAACGUCUGAAGUUUCUCAUUCACAUCAGAUAAUAUUUACGCGAAGAGUAGAGUAAAGGUAAGGGUUUGGUAGUCAGACAUUCAUGGAGACUGUGUUCUUUUCUUUUGUAAGGCAUUUGUGAAAUUUUGGAAUGCAAUAUAGGUACGGUAACUAGAAGUCAUUCGCAACAUCAAUAUAUUGGACUAAGUAUGUGUUUGAAAAUGAAACGUGAUUUUGGAGAAUUUUCAAAUUGUCUUUUCAAAGGGAACUUCGUGUACAAGUUAGAUUACCAAAUGUGAAAUUAAAGCCACGAUCUUCUAAAUUACAGCAGUGAUAAUGAUCAGACAGUGUCGCUACAAGCUUUGUCAGCUGGAGCUAAUACAUAAUUCGCAUGUAACAUAUCUGAUUCUCUCAUCACUUCUGGUUUACUCAACAAAGGAUAGACGGUACACCAGCUUGUUUUUACGUGUCUAAUACGAGGUUUUAAUACUCCUGUUAUCCUCUUUAUCCACGCUGAGAAAGUGUCAAGAAUCAUUAGAAUAUUUCACAUGCACCUCCAAUUGUUUUAUUUGUGAAAAUGACCAAAUAGUUUGAAAGAUACAAUAUACCUA
This is a long non-coding RNA of Ostrea edulis (European flat oyster), 2675 nucleotides long. RefSeq lists it as uncharacterized. Lineage: Eukaryota; Metazoa; Mollusca; Bivalvia; Ostreida; Ostreidae. The transcript is spliced from 2 exons. The record is from RefSeq and is a predicted model, not a curated record.